RNAcentral lists this small nuclear RNA (168 nucleotides) under Meriones unguiculatus (Mongolian gerbil). Its description in RNAcentral is "U1 spliceosomal RNA (ENSMUGG00000025254.1)". It matches the Rfam family "U1 spliceosomal RNA". Rfam says of the family: U1 is a small nuclear RNA (snRNA) component of the spliceosome (involved in pre-mRNA splicing). Its 5' end forms complementary base pairs with the 5' splice junction, thus defining the 5' donor site of an intron. There are significant differences in sequence and secondary structure between metazoan and yeast U1 snRNAs, the latter being much longer (568 nucleotides as compared to 164 nucleotides in human). The record is from RNAcentral. Lineage: Eukaryota; Metazoa; Chordata; Mammalia; Rodentia; Muridae.
AUACUCACGUGGCAACAGGGAGGGUACUUUGAUCAGGAUUUUUUAUUAUUAUUUAGGUUGAGGAUCAUGCAUUGCACUUUGGUUAUCUAUAUCUGCCAUUUCCACAAACUAGGGAAACUUGAUUGCAGAAUGUGUAGUACUGAGGGACUGCGUUUGCAUUUGUCUCCU